This 422-nucleotide ribosomal RNA is filed under the name uncultured bacterium. RNAcentral describes it as "bacterial SSU rRNA". It matches the Rfam family "Bacterial small subunit ribosomal RNA", at positions 29 to 498 of the family's 1533-position model. The record is from RNAcentral.
AACGAACGCUGGCGGCAGGCCUAACACAUGCAAGUCGAACGAGAUCUUCGGAUCUAGUGGCGGACGGGUGAGUAACGCGUGGGAACGUACCCAGAUCUACGGAAUAGCCUUUGGAAACGAAGAGUAAUACCGUAUACGCCCUUCGGGGGAAAGAAUUUCGGGGAAGGAUCGGCCCGCGUUGGAUUAGGUAGUUGGUGGGGUAAUGGCCUACCAAGCCGACGAUCCAUAGCUGGUUUGAGAGGAUGAUCAGCCACACUGGGACUGAGACACGGCCCAGACUCCUACGGGAGGCAGCAGUGGGGAAUCUUAGACAAUGGGGGCAACCCUGAUCUAGCCAUGCCGCGUGAGUGACGAAGGCCCUAGGGUCGUAAAGCUCUUUCGCCAGGGAUGAUAAUGACAGUACCUGGUAAAGAAACCCGGCU